CCUAAAUGCUGGUUUCUUCAUCAAGCGGCGGAAUAACGCAUCAGGGCAGGUGACCCACGUCACCGGGGUGAUGCACUGGUGCUCGCCGGGGCGGGCGCUGUGCCUGCGGGAGCCGCGCGGCCGGCGCGGUGUCGGGGCGCCUCGUGGGGGCCGAGCCGCGCCCGCACGUCCCUCAGAACUCUCAGUGAGUGUCAGAUCAACACAUUCAUCCACCAUAUCCCGUGUGUAUAAGAACAAUCCAUCACUCCUGACCUAAUCCAGCACAGAACAGAACUUCUGGAAGAGGACUAAAGAAGAGAAAGAGUGGAAGUGUCACAUGCCCAGAGGAAAAUAGAUGCGACAGAGAUGAAUAAAACAAAACAAAACAAAAGGAAGAAAGCCAAGCUAAUCUGGGAGUUCCAUCACGGCUAAGAACGCAUCUUUGUUUUGUCACGCGGUUUCUAGCCCGGCUCAGACCUGGGCUGCGGCACCUCAGGCAUCUCCUUUCAUCUCUCGGCUUUUCUCCUGGCUCCCGGGCGCUUCUCGAGACUUUUUGGACCUGGACUGGUCCAUGGCAGAACACCUCUUUCCUGAGUCCUCCCUAUGCACCUGCCCAAAGCGGGGGAUUGGGGUGGCACUCUCCAAGAUGCCAGGCUCCUCAAAUGGAGCCAUCACCCCCUAGGCUGUACUUGGCAUUGUCUCCAAGGAGCCUGGGGAGGUAACCGGUUGGGGACUGAUUCACUUGGGAGGGAGGGAGCGAGUGCAGAUUGCAGAUGCUAUCUAGUCGGGCCAAGUCAACCUGGGGAAGGGCAGGUCUGUGUCUCAACUGGUUUAGGGGUGGGAGAGUGGGAUUGGAACUUUUACACCUUGCAUUCUUAGGACGUCACAAUGGUUUUCCCAAGGCCUCCUUAUCUGAGGGUGUUUACCUAUUCAACCAGCAUACGCAGGUUCAGGACUCCCACUUUGUCCGGGUUCUGUCCUCACAGGCACAGGAAGAUUAAUGCGAACAACAGGGUCUGACAAACCAAAACUCACAGAUAAGAGACUUGGGUUAUUAGGGCAGAUGCCAGAAGUCAUGGGAUCUUCACGGGGUGGCUGUAGGCUGAGCAAUCUCCCUCGGGAUGUGAGGGGGUGUAUUUCUGCGUUAUUGGUCAUUGAGAAAUUCCCUAAUCUUAGAGAGAAAAGGAAUGAAACCAAGGGCUUGAAUCGGAGUAUACGUAGUUGACCUAAUUAUAAGGUUGUCCAUCCAUCUGUUUAAUAAAUAGUUCCAUGAUGUGGGACGGCAAGGUCACUCAUAGCCCUGAACAUUAACAACGUUUUCCUAAGGUUCUGGAAAAAAAGUGGUAACCAUGUGUUCAGCUGCAGGCUUGUUCUGUCUCAGGCCUCAGGCUGACAUGAAUCAGAAAUAGAGGGAAAUGUGGAAGUGGCAUUGCAAAUAUUAGUUCUAAAAACGGACUGGGAAGAGAGAGUGCCUCUAGACCCAGUCAUGGCCUAGCCAAGCCCCAGAAGAAUGACAUCACCCAUUGUGCCUCGUGGGGAGCCCCUGAGGCUGUCAUGGAUUUGUAGUCCUAUGUGGGACAGCGCUGCUGACGCGGUUAUUUCCUGCACUAGACCUACCCUGUCAGCAAGACACUGUUUACAUGAGCUGAGUGCCAAGUUGCGGCACAUUAUGCACAAUCGCUUUUAAGUUCAAUUAAAUUAACGUUUAGAAACAUUGUAGAUAGAAAAAGCUAAAGAGCAUUUUAGCAAACAGUGAUUACCUAGAGAUGCAAGUGCUUUGAAUUUGAGCAUUAGAGAACUUGUGAAUUUGUAGGAGUUAAGCAGGACAAGUACCCAUCUAAUGAAUGUUCAUAAGGGAAGCGCGCGUGUAGGAGGCAUUUCAGGUAGCCCAGCGCAGACCAAGGAGGGAAGGAAACAGAUAAGAUGUCAGAAAACAUCUUCAAAUACCCAGAGUUGUUAUCCCCUCCACGAAACAUUGGAGGGCGAAUUGUUUGGGUCAGUAAAAUAGAAUCAUAAAGUGUGAAGAAGAAACCUGUGGAACAUUCUGGAAGAAUUGGUCAGAGAUGAGCCACCGCACCCAGCCCCCAUUCACUUUUGUUUUAGGAAAUGAGAAAGCUUCUGCCUUUUUUCUUUCCUUCCUUCCUUGGAUGUUAGUUAAGAUCAGUGAGGUAAUGGUGAUAAAGUACUUUGAAUUACCUCAAGGAGAGUGCAGCCCAACUUGUUAUUAUUUACCUAGGUCAGUUCACAAACCCCCACGAUCUAGGGUUCCUGUCUCCUGCCCUGGGGAUGGUGCCUGGGAGAAAGGAGAUGUCACAGACCCAGUCCCACAGGGCGCUGUUGGCUGGAGUUGGUCAUUCCUUACUUUGACAUCAACAGGCUUAUCUCUAGAAAUAGGCUAAAUGGUAGCUCAGGCGCCGGUGUUGCCUCAUCCCGCAAACUCCCAGGGAGGCUGCCUACUUCCAGCCCCUGUUCUGGGAACUAAUGAUAGGUGGGAUGAAAAGACUGUUUCCUCUGAUGCGCUUUUAUGAGUUGUUUUCGAAGAUGAGGUGGCAAGGACAUGGUUAACCCGCUCCCUUGUGCAGGGAGACAUCAGAAUGACAGGGCACGGGGAAUCUCCCCAACCCGUUCCCAGGAGAGCUCUUGCCGAGGACGGCCCAGCUGUUAGCCAGAAAUCAAGGCAGCCUCAAGCCCUGUAACCCAGAUAUCAGUGGGCUUUUUCGGCUGACGGUGCUGUGGCCUGCGGCAGGCGGCAGUGUGGGUAGAGGACAGCUGUGGCUGAGGCCGGCAGCUCUUUCCACACGACUUCUUGGGUAAUGGCUCUUCUUAAGCCUGUGAUAUUUAGGGAUUGUCAAACUUCCCUUUCAUCCUGAGCCACCUUCCCUCAUGGGUAGCAGAGGAGUUGGAUUUCUUUCUUUUCUUUUCUUUUUUCUUUUUCUUUUUCGACAGAGUCUUGCUCUGUCGCCCAGGCUGGAGGGCAGUGGUAUGAUCUCUGCUCACUGCAACCUCCACCUCCCGGGUUCAAGUGAUUCUUCUGCCUCAGCCGCCCGAGUAGCUGGGAUUACAGGCACGCACCACCACGCCCAGCUAAUUUUUGUAUUUUUAGUAGAGAUGGGGUUUCACCAUGUUGGUCAGGCUGGUCUCGAACUCUUGACCUCAGGUGAUCCACCUGCCUUGGCCUCCCAAAGUGCUGGGAUUACAGGCGUGAGCCACCAAGCCCGGUCAAGGAGUUGGAUUUCUUAUGACAAGAGUAUUAUGGCUGUGUGUCCCAGAGGAGGCACUGUGUCCUCAUGAGGGUCCUUCACUGAAAGGAGAGCCUCGAGGACAAAGGAAUCUUCUAGAGACGACGUUGGGAGGGAGGAGUGGAGUUUGCAGGUGACUCUAGAGGACCCCAAAGUCCAGUGGGAGCUCAUUACCUCCUCGAUAGGAGGAGCCUGUUGUUGUAUGAGUGAGGAAAGGUGGCAGAACCGAGGCUGAGAGAGGCUGCGAAGAUGCAGCAGCAGUGCUGAGGCCUGAGAGGAGGACACGUUCUAUUACGCCAAUUAAUUCUACCCACCGAAAGGGCACAUCACAUUUUUGGGGUUGCCAAAAGCCGUUCUUAGCAGUAAAAAGUCUGUGAACUGCUGCACUGGGGAUUGGCAAAGGCUUGGUAGCCAGCGCAUUGAAGAGGGAGGGACAGCAAGCCUCACACCGGGAGUGGAUCCUUCCUGUGUUUCUGCCACCACAGUUUGCCAGUUUGAUGCCAAGGGACUCUUACUGUUUAUGUGUGCAUGUUUGUGCUGUUAGAUUAUCUUCUGAGCAAUUUCAAGUUUUAAGAAUAUGUUGGUGAAGUCAACAAUGAACAAUUCCAGGAGACUUGGUUCCACCCGGGCCCUGCUCAGGAAAGAUGAGGAGCCCC
Molecule: long non-coding RNA, 3874 nt
Filed under: Homo sapiens (human)
Lineage: Eukaryota; Metazoa; Chordata; Mammalia; Primates; Hominidae
Description: LHRI_LNC1847.6
Source: RNAcentral